RNAcentral lists this small RNA (74 nucleotides) under Aporhodopirellula sallentina SM41. Its description in RNAcentral is "Rhodopirellula sallentina SM41 int-alpA RNA". It matches the Rfam family "int-alpA RNA". Rfam says of the family: Acidobacteria (1 example), Planctomycetes (1 example), Proteobacteria. Environment (Lake Washington) Lineage: Bacteria; Pseudomonadati; Planctomycetota; Planctomycetia; Pirellulales; Pirellulaceae. The record is from Rfam by way of RNAcentral.
GCCACGGCUAGGUUUAGCGGCCGAAAAGCCGGUCCCAUGCCGGCCCCGCCGUGGCUCUUCACACACCUACAUGG